Molecule: ribosomal RNA, 523 nt
Filed under: uncultured Glomeromycotina
Lineage: Eukaryota; Fungi; Glomeromycota
Description: SSU rRNA
Rfam family: Eukaryotic small subunit ribosomal RNA
Source: RNAcentral
AGCAGCCGCGGUAAUUCCAGCUCCAAUAGCGUAUAUUAAAGUUGUUGCAGUUAAAAAGCUCGUAGUUGAACUUCGGGGUUUACCCAUUGGUCAGGCUUAAUUGUCUGCACUGGUGAGAUGAAUCUCUACCUUCUGAGGAACUUUCAUGCCAUUUGUUUGGUGUGAUGGGAAAUCAGGACUGUUACUUUGAAAAAAUUAGAGUGUUUAAAGCAGGCUAACGUCUGAAUACAUUAGCAUGGAAUAAUGAAAUAGGACGGACUGAUUCUAUUUCGUUGGUUUCUAGGAUCACCGUAAUGAUUAAUAGGGAUAGUUGGGGCAUUAGUAUUCAAUUGUCAGAGGUGAAAUUCUUGGAUUUAUUGAAGACUAACUACUGCGAAAGCAUUUGCCAAGGAUGUUUUCAUUAAUCAAGAACGAAAGUUAGGGGAUCGAAGACGAUCAGAUACCGUCGUAGUCUUAACCAUAAACUAUGCCGACUAGGGAUCGGACGAAGUUAAUUUUAUAAUGACGCGUUCGGCACCUUACG